GGAAGCCGGUGAGACUCCGGCGCGGUCGCGCCACUGUAUGCCCCUUCUUCCGGUCCGCUGCCGUGCGCAGCGUACGGGCGGGGGCGAGCCAGAC
Molecule: non-coding RNA, 94 nt
Filed under: Streptomyces abyssalis
Lineage: Bacteria; Bacillati; Actinomycetota; Actinomycetes; Kitasatosporales; Streptomycetaceae
Source: RNAcentral